RNAcentral lists this unclassified non-coding RNA (294 nucleotides) under Hevea brasiliensis (rubber tree). Lineage: Eukaryota; Viridiplantae; Streptophyta; Magnoliopsida; Malpighiales; Euphorbiaceae. The record is from RNAcentral.
GUUGGCUGAGCAGUUCCAGAAGCAAGCACCUGGAGGAGGUGCUGAUGCAGCAGCAGCAGCCAAUGCCGAGGACGACGACGAUGUUCCUGACCUUGUCGAAGGGCAGACCUUCGAAGCUGCUGCAGAAGAGAGUCAAGCCUCCUAGAUAUAGGAGCUCUCAGAUGAUUUUGUUUAGCUUUUCUUUUUUCUUACAUUUUUUAAAAAUGUUUGGGAAGAGUUCCAUUUUUCUCCGUGUAUUUGUUUUUGCUAAUCUUUGUUCCCCAUGGCAUUUACUCACCUCGCUCCCAUGUAAAC